RNAcentral lists this ribosomal RNA (208 nucleotides) under uncultured bacterium. RNAcentral describes it as "partial 16S ribosomal RNA". It matches the Rfam family "Bacterial small subunit ribosomal RNA", at positions 568 to 774 of the family's 1533-position model. The record is from RNAcentral.
CACGUAGGUGGGUCGUUAAGUCAGGGGUGAAAUCCCGGAGCUCAACUCCGGAACUGCCUUUGAUACUGGCGACCUUCGAGUCCGGGAGAGGUGAGUGGAAUUGCGAGUGUAGAGGUGAAAUUCGUAGAUAUUCGCAAGAACACCAGUGGCGAAGGCGGCUCACUGGCCCGAUACUGACACUGAGGUGCGAAAGCGUGGGGAGCAAACA